GGGCCCUUAGCUCAGCCGGUUAGAGCAGCGGACUCAUAAUCCGUUGGUCGCAGGUUCGAAUCCUGCAGGGCCCACCA
This 77-nucleotide transfer RNA is filed under the name Acidobacteriota bacterium. RNAcentral's name for it is "Acidobacteria bacterium (groundwater metagenome) tRNA-Ile". It matches the Rfam family "tRNA". Rfam says of the family: Transfer RNA (tRNA) molecules are approximately 80 nucleotides in length. Their secondary structure includes four short double-helical elements and three loops (D, anti-codon, and T loops). Lineage: Bacteria; Pseudomonadati; Acidobacteriota. RNAcentral also lists the same sequence under 1 other name. The record is from RNAcentral.